Molecule: ribosomal RNA, 254 nt
Filed under: uncultured bacterium
Lineage: Bacteria
Description: partial 16S ribosomal RNA
Rfam family: Bacterial small subunit ribosomal RNA
Source: RNAcentral
UACGUAGGUGGCAAGCGUUGUCCGGAUUUACUGGGCGUAAAGAGCGCGCAGGCGGUCGUUCAAGUCGCGUGUGAAAGCCCCCGGCUCAACUGGGGAGGGUCACGCGAUACUGAUCGACUCGAAGGCAGGAGAGGGAAGUGGAAUUCCCGGUGUAGUGGUGAAAUGCGUAGAUAUCGGGAGGAACACCAGUGGCGAAGGCGACUUCCUGGCCUGUUCUUGACGCUGAGGCGCGAAAGCUAGGGGAGCAAACGGGG